This 1423-nucleotide long non-coding RNA is filed under the name Vulpes vulpes (red fox). RNAcentral's name for it is "lncRNA (ENSVVUG00000018874.1)". Lineage: Eukaryota; Metazoa; Chordata; Mammalia; Carnivora; Canidae. The record is from RNAcentral.
GGACAAGAGAAGGGGCACUAAAAAACUUUAUAACAGAAUGAUUUACCUAAUUGCAUUCCAGGGAAGUUUGAAUAACUAUAUCACAACUUCAAGAAAUAUUCUCCUCAGAUAGAAAGAAGGCACCUGUCCCAGGAAACAUAAUAAACUGGUGCUAUUUCAUCCUGACUCAACCAUCAGCUUGGGUAUGCAAUGUGUCAUCUUAGCAGCUUUUAAAUAAGAACAAAAUUGGCACUGAAAUCCAACUUAUUUCUCUUCUACCCAGGCACUACCUAGAGUCCAUUGAAAAUUGGACUUCACGGUCAACUUGCUCCUUGCUAACAACUGAACAAGCAAUUGAGGCAUUUGGCAGGCCAUGAGUGAGAGCCAAAGGUCAUUUUGAGAGGCUACGUUCAGCCCUACAAUAAAUUUUAGGUUAGCCACGUCAAGAAAGCGGUGAGGCUACAUCAUCACACUUCUGUUUGAUAUGCUGUGGUUCCACUUUUAGGCAACAAUAAUGCCCUAAGUAAAGAGCCAACCUACAUGGUCAGAAAGAAAGGGAAUGCCUUAAGUAACACAACGUAUAACUAACUCCUCGCUUCCUGGAUGGAAUUUAAAAUAGAGACUCCUGCUUUUUAACAGCAAACCACGGAGUGAUCAACAGUUGGGGUUGGCCAACUGAGACACAUUAUCCCAUCUGAAGGCAUCCGGGACCAGGUAUCCCUCAGUCAACUGUCAGCCAGCUUCUAGGAGGAGAGCCAACAGGUUGACAUGUACUGGCCAGAGCCCUGUGGCAACCCCGACCAGACCAACAGAACCAGGCAGCAGCACUCACCCUGACUCAAAGUAUGGCAAGCUAAAUAGUCACGGUCACUGCCGUAUCACCAGCAGAUGGGGAAGAAACAGCACAGGCUGGUACCUGGGUCAUGUAAUACUGAGUGCAAAUAAAAAGGUUCCCAGUAUUGUUCUCAGUGGUCGACCUUAGGUAACGUCAUAAACAGAAAAGACUUCAGCAGGUUCACAGUUGAUUGAAGCCGUACCUACCGAAUGAUCUCAAUGACGAAGACGGACAAUUCCAACUAUUGGUGAAGAAGGGACAAGUGGAAUUUUCACACAUUGCUGAGAGUACACCAUUGGGCAACCUCUUUGUAAAACUUGCUGAAUCCUUAUAUACAAGGUCAAAUAUUUAACACUUAUAUUUUAAUAUAAUAUAAAUAUUAUAUUAUAUUAUAUUAAAUAUUAUAAAUAUUUAAAAAUUGGUAGUUUCUUAUGAUGCUAAAUGCAUAUCAAUCCUACAACUAAACCAGUCGAAUAAUGCAAAAACAAUAUGUCCAUGUGAAGAUAUGUACAUAAUUGUUUCUAGCACGUCUAUGUGUAAUAGCCCAAACCUGGAAAACAGCCCAGAUGUCCAACAUCUAGAGAAUAAACAACUGCCUAUAUUUGGUCA